Molecule: unclassified non-coding RNA, 471 nt
Filed under: Hevea brasiliensis (rubber tree)
Lineage: Eukaryota; Viridiplantae; Streptophyta; Magnoliopsida; Malpighiales; Euphorbiaceae
Source: RNAcentral
AUUAUUGUGGAGAGUUUGACAAUGCUGGCGCUAUGAUGAGCGUAGAUGAGACAUUAAUGUGCUCCUUUCAAAUAUUAAAACCUGCCGACAAGAAGUCCAAAUUCAGCUUUGGAAGUACAACUACUGCUAAACCCGGAUCUCCUACUGGAAUGAAGUCCUUUUUUAAUUCCAAAGCAUGAGAAGCAGCUUCACGAAGCAGGGAUUAAGCAAAGAACUGUUGAAGCUCUUGAAAUUACCGUUUACUGCAGUCGUUUCUUAAUGUCGAAAGUAUGAGAGCCAAGCCAACUACAGAAGUUGCCAUAGAAGUCUUUACUUAUAUAGUGAAUAGAUGAAUUACCAAAACUUGAUGAUCAUUUUAACCAUGGUGGAUGUGUAAAAAAGUAUGAGAAAAUGGUGCAAAACCAUACUUGGUCUUCAUUUUUUAGCUCAAAUUGUAAGCUAUAAAGCAUCUCUUUAUUUUGUUCAACUAAG